RNAcentral lists this ribosomal RNA (253 nucleotides) under uncultured bacterium. RNAcentral's name for it is "partial 16S ribosomal RNA". It matches the Rfam family "Bacterial small subunit ribosomal RNA", at positions 524 to 776 of the family's 1533-position model. The record is from RNAcentral.
UACGGAGGGGGCAAGCGUUGUCCGGAUUUACUGGGCGUAAAGAGCGCGCAGGCGGUCGUUCAAGUCGCGUGUGAAAGCCCCCGGCUCAACUGGGGAGGGUCACGCGAUACUGAUCGACUCGAAGGCAGGAGAGGGUAGUGGAAUUCCCGGUGUAGUGGUGAAAUGCGUAGAUAUCGGGAGGAACACCAGUGGCGAAGGCGACUACCUGGCCUGUUCUUGACGCUGAGGCGCGAAAGCUAGGGGAGCAAACAGG